GACGAACGCUGGCGGCGUGCUUAACACAUGCAAGUCGAACGGAAAGGCCCUGCUUUUGUGGGGUGCUCGAGUGGCGAACGGGUGAGUAACACGUGAGUAACCUGCCCUUGACUUUGGGAUAACUUCAGGAAACUGGGGCUAAUACCGGAUAGGAGCUCCUGCUGCAUGGUGGGGGUUGGAAAGUUUCGGCGGUUGGGGAUGGACUCGCGGCUUAUCAGCUUGUUGGUGGGGUAGUGGCUUACCAAGGCUUUGACGGGUAGCCGGCCUGAGAGGGUGACCGGCCACAUUGGUACUGAGAGACGGCCCAGACUCCUACGGGAGGCAGCGGUGGGGAAUAUUGCCCAAUGGGCGGAAGCCUGAUGCAGCAACGCCGCGUGCGGGAUGACGGCCUUCGGGUUGUAAACCGCUUUCGCCUGUGACGAAGCGUGAGUGACGGUAAUGGGUAAAGAAGCACCGGCUAACUACGUG
RNAcentral lists this ribosomal RNA (468 nucleotides) under uncultured bacterium. RNAcentral describes it as "partial 16S ribosomal RNA". It matches the Rfam family "Bacterial small subunit ribosomal RNA", at positions 28 to 507 of the family's 1533-position model. The record is from RNAcentral.